GGCGAGCGGCGGACGGGUGAGUAAUGUCUGGGGAUCUGCCCGAUGGAGGGGGAUAACUACUGGAAACGGUAGCUAAUACCGCAUAACGUCGCAAGACCAAAGUGGGGGGACCUUCGGGCCUCACACCAUCGGAUGUGCCCAGAUGGGAUUAGCUUGUUGGUGGGGUAAUGGCUCACCAAGGCGACGAUCCCUAGCUGGUCUGAGAGGAUGACCAGCCACACUGGAACUGAGACACGGUCCAG
Molecule: ribosomal RNA, 242 nt
Filed under: uncultured bacterium
Lineage: Bacteria
Description: partial 16S ribosomal RNA
Rfam family: Bacterial small subunit ribosomal RNA
Source: RNAcentral